Molecule: long non-coding RNA, 315 nt
Filed under: Androctonus crassicauda
Lineage: Eukaryota; Metazoa; Arthropoda; Arachnida; Scorpiones; Buthidae
Source: RNAcentral
AAAAAUACAUAUAAUUGAAGUCCCAUGUCUGAAACUCCAAAAUGUCACUCCAUUUUCAUGAAUUAGUUACCAUCGCUGAUACAUUGCUAAACGAUGAAUAUUCCAUUACCAAUAGUGGAAUUCUGCUACUAUUAGUAAUACAGAGCGUCCUAUUACAAAUAGAUGCCCUGAUCUGUUUCAGAAUGGUCUGUAGUCAUUUCAAAAUGCUCAGAAUGUGUAUUGGUUUUGGCAGAGUUGUCCACAACGCAUUGUGGUUACCUCUUGAUGGAUAUGAAGCAAAAUAACGUUGAGCAUCGGUGUUUGGUCGUUUGGAAC